This 438-nucleotide unclassified non-coding RNA is filed under the name Hevea brasiliensis (rubber tree). Lineage: Eukaryota; Viridiplantae; Streptophyta; Magnoliopsida; Malpighiales; Euphorbiaceae. The record is from RNAcentral.
AAGGACCAAACCGUCUCUCUUGCAGAAAACUUGGAGAAAAUGAGGGAUUAAAACUACGACUACUAGUGCUAAUGUUCAGUGAAGGCGAUGAGCUAUACAUACAGGCAUGUUGCUGUUGCUGGUACUGAGGUUGUGGAACAACAAAAGAAGUUGCAGCACCGAAACCACCUGAAUCUGGCAGAAGUCCGAUACUUCCCCUGGGGGUUAUGGGACUUGGAUGCGUGUGUUGUCCUUCAUAAGUUGUAACAACUAUGGUGGGAUCCUCAGAUGAUCUCUCUACUCUCUUCUUCACCCCACAUCCUGCACUAGUGCAACGAUAAUAGAUAAGGGCUGUUUUUCACUGCUUUCUGGCCGUACUUCCUCCAUCUAUAUCCAUCAUCUAGGUGAUCAACUUCGCUUUUUGUCAUGAAAGCAAAUCUUGGCUCUCUUUGCCUUUUC